This 1844-nucleotide ribosomal RNA is filed under the name uncultured Entamoeba. RNAcentral describes it as "bacterial SSU rRNA". It matches the Rfam family "Eukaryotic small subunit ribosomal RNA". Lineage: Eukaryota; Evosea; Mastigamoebida; Endamoebidae. The record is from RNAcentral.
UGUUGAAGAUUAAGCCAUGCAUGUGUAAGUAUAAAGACCUAGUAGGAUGAAACUGCGGACGGCUCAUUACAACAGUUAUAGUUUCUUUGGUUAGUAACAAAAGGAUAACUCUGUUAAUUGUAGAGCUAAUACUUGAGACUUUCCACUUUCUUUCGAGACUGUGGCGACCACAUCACGAUGUGGUUUAGAAUUAUUCCAUUCUGAAUGCUGGAAUAAGGACAAUUGUAGAAUCCUGGGGAUUUUUCAAGUAACCAAUGAGAAUUUCUGACUUAUCAACCUGUAGGUAAGGUAGUGGCUUACCUUGGUGAUCACGAGUAACGAGAAAUAAGGGUUUGACAUCGGAGAGGGAGCCUUCAAAAUGGCUACCACUUCCAAGGAAGGCAGCAGGCGCGAAAAUUACCCACUUGGGACUCCCAGAGGUAGUGAAGACAAAUAACUAAAUUCUGUCCACUGGAUAGAGUUUAAGGGAUGAGCUAGACGUUAACACUCUAGCGAAAGCGAUUGGAGGGCAAGUCUGGUGCCAGCAGCCGCGGUAAUUCCAGCUCCAAUAGUGUAUAUUAAAGUUGUUGUGAUUAAAAAGCUCGUAGUUGAAUUUGACGAGAACUUAGGAUCUUUUGCUCUGCACGCAGAGGAGAAGAGGCCUUCAAUAGUUCUAAACAAGCUGCACUCUGCCUCUUCGGAGACAGGUGAAGAUAUUUACUUUGAAUAAAUAUGAGUGUUUAAAGCAAAGCAUUAGCUAAUUAAAUAUGAAGCAUGGGAUAAUAGAGAGGAGAUUUCAAUCUGCGUACAGAUUGUACAAGGAAGGAAUUUCUAUAUAAGGAUUAAUAGAAAGAGAUGGGGUGAUUUAUACGGAAAUGGGAGAGGUGAAAAUCCAUGAUCAUUUUAGGAUAAACUGAAGCGAAAGCAUUUCACUUAAAUCUUUUCAUUAAUCAAGAACGAAAGUUAGGGGAUCGAAGACGAUUAGAUACCGUCGUAGUCCUAACUAUAAACGAUGUCAACGAAGGAUUGGAUUGAACCAUGGCCGGAGGUUGAAGAACCAAGCGGCAGUAUACUUCAGUUCAGGACUUGAGGGGAAACCUUUAGUUAAUGGACUUCAGGGGGAGUAUGCUCGCAAGGGUGAAACUUAAAGGAAUUGACGGAAGGGCACACCAGGAGUGGAGCCUGCGGCUUAAUUUGACUCAACACGGGAAAACUUACCAAGACCAGACAUUAAGAGGAGUGACAGAGUAAGGGAACUUUCAUGAUUUGAUGGAGAGUGGUGCAUGGCCGUUCUUAGUUGGUGGAGUGAUUUGUCAGGUUUAUUCCGAUAACGAACGAGACUUCAAUCUUUAAUUAGAUUGCACAGCAUUUAUGUUGUGUGAGCCAGCAAUGGCCCUCAAUGAGGUCUUCUUAAAGAGACUCUUGGCAAUUUUCUGGACUUCAGACCUACCCAAUGGGAGGCUCUGGAGCUAGAAGAAGCUAAGGGAAGAGAAGCAAUAACAGGUCUGUGAUGCCCUUAGACAUCUUGGGCUGCACGCGUGCUACAAUAUCUAUUUUCAAGAGUACUUUUAGCAGUGUAUAGGGCAUGUUUGGCUCUCACGAGCCGAGUGCGCCAACUAGCACUGUGUACCUUCUCCGAAAGGAGCGGGAAAACUCGUAAGAUAGAUGUAACAGGGAUUAAUGAUUGGAAUUAUUUGUUAUGUAACGAGGAAUUCCUUGUAAAAUUUUGUCACUAGCGAAAGUUGAAUACGUCCCUGCCCUUUGUACACACCGCCCGUCGCUCCUACCGAUUGAAUAAAAAGAUGAAGGUUUAGGAGGAAUCUACAACGUAGAACCAAAUGGAUCUGAAUCUCUUUAUUUAGAGG